RNAcentral lists this small nucleolar RNA (74 nucleotides) under Capra hircus (goat). RNAcentral describes it as "Small nucleolar RNA SNORD42 (ENSCHIG00010029187.1, ENSCHIG00020032003.1, ENSCHIG00040028326.1)". It matches the Rfam family "Small nucleolar RNA SNORD42". Rfam says of the family: snoRNA U42 is found in intron 3 of the ribosomal protein L23a (RPL23a) gene in humans and is also present in mice. U42 is a member of the C/D class of snoRNA which contain C (UGAUGA) and D (CUGA) box motifs. The record is from Rfam by way of RNAcentral. Lineage: Eukaryota; Metazoa; Chordata; Mammalia; Artiodactyla; Bovidae.
GUGCAAAUGAUAGAGAAAAAAUCACUAUUUGUGAGGGGAAAAAAAAUGACACGAAAAAGGAACCACUGAUGCAC